Molecule: ribosomal RNA, 468 nt
Filed under: uncultured bacterium
Lineage: Bacteria
Description: partial 16S ribosomal RNA
Rfam family: Bacterial small subunit ribosomal RNA
Source: RNAcentral
GACGAACGCUGGCGGCGUGCUUAACACAUGCAAGUCGAACGGAAAGGCCCUGCUUUUGUGGUGUGCUCGAGUGGCGAACGGGUGAGUAACACGUGAGUAACCUGCCCUUGACUUUGGGGUAACUUCAGGAAACUGGGGCUAAUACCGGAUAGGAGCUCCUGCUGCACGGUGGGGGGUGGAAAGUUUCGGCGGUUGGGGAUGGACUCGCGGCUUAUCAGCUUGUUGGUGGGGUAGUGGCUUACCAAGGCUUUGACGGGUAGCCGGCCUGAGAGGGUGACCGGCCACCUUGGUACUGCGAGACGGACCAGACUCCUAUGUGAGGCAACAGUGGGGAGUAUUGCACAAUGGGCGGAAGCCUGAUACAGAGGCGCCGCGUGCGGGAUGACGGCCUUCGGGGUGUAAACCGCUUUCGCCUGUGACGAAGCGUUAGUGACGGUAAUGGGUAAAGAAGCACCGGCUAACUACGUG